UCAGGCGCUAUAAACCCAAUAAGUUGUCGUUGACACUGAAACGGUGGACAAAUUUUUUCGUGUUCUGACGCUCGAGAAGGUCUACCGGUCCUUGACAAUUUUACCAAUUACGUCAUGGUAUUCGUUAUAGUUUUUAAGGAGUUUUCGUUACUUCCAUUUGAUUAGAAAUGUUAUAUUAAAAAAGAAGAUUUCUGGAAAAAUAUAAUGCAUCAACAGUUGUCAGUAAGAUGACACUAGGUACUUGAAUCGGGUAGUUUGGCCAAAAAGCUUUUAUGGUGAACAACGAUGCCAAAUGUCACUAGAAUAUCAUUUGCAGAAAAUGGGCGGCCCUGGUUCAGGCCCGUAGCCAGAUUCGAAGUAGCAGGGGUGGCCGGUAUUUUUCUAGAGGUGGCUAAGAAGUGUUUGAUAAAUAUCUCCCCUGUAAUUUUUGUAAAGGAACCAUUAACCGUAAUUUCCAGUGGGAGCAAGACCACGUUCUAGAUGGGACUGAGUUCCACUCCACCUGGCCACUCUCUAGCUACGGUCCUGCCUUGGUUCGAUUCCCGGCGAUCAUUUAUUGAAAUGUAAAACACACAAUAUUGUAAUUCAUAUAUCUCAAAAGGGGACAGGCCACCAUGCUGGUUUUCACCGCCCCCAAAAUUACAAGUUCUGUAACUCCAUUAGUUUAUCAUAUAGCUAAGUUUACACGUUAAGGAGACUUACAUUAAACAAAUAACUUUA
Long non-coding RNA from Photinus pyralis (common eastern firefly), 720 nucleotides. RefSeq lists it as uncharacterized. The transcript has 2 exons. NCBI's taxonomy places the organism in Eukaryota, Metazoa, Arthropoda, Insecta, Coleoptera, Lampyridae. The record is from RefSeq and is a predicted model, not a curated record.